This 808-nucleotide long non-coding RNA is filed under the name Rattus norvegicus (Norway rat). RNAcentral describes it as "long non-coding RNA NONRATT008338". Lineage: Eukaryota; Metazoa; Chordata; Mammalia; Rodentia; Muridae. The record is from RNAcentral.
GGCUGGGGGUUGCAGACCAGCGCUGUGGAGCAGGAGGGACAGCCGAGUGGCGCCGCUGAUCCUGACUGUCCCAUAUUUUAAAACCUGGCUGGAAAUUGUCUUUGAAAAAGGAUCCCUCCCCACCCCCACCUCCCCUACGGCACAAACAGAAAUCGAGGUGUGACGCAUUCCCAGACCGUCCCCCAAACUCAACACCAGCAACUUCUCUGUGACUGGGUCCAGAUAAAGGUCCUUUCAAGACUGACGUCACUGGAUCUACUCCACCAGGUCUUCCUGACCCUACUGUAUCACUGUAGUGUUUCUGGCGAGACUGCCCGCACCAACAGAAGACUCACCGGAUCCACCAGCACAUCUUUCACCAGCAAGCAUCUUACCAGCAGAGCACAGCCUCUGUAUGAUUCUGCCUCCAGCUGACACUGACAGGAAAAGGCAUCCGGCUUGGAUUAGAGGCCUGGCUUUCUUUAGAAGGAGCUAUUCUGUGAUCUGUGCUGCUACCACUGUCGAUAUCCCUUGCUUCUUGCUUCCAUGGGAAGCAUGAGUCUAUUGGAACUUGGGACAAGAAGAAAUCAAGGUAUCUCUACUACAGAGCCCAGACACUAAACACAUGUCCCAAACUCUGAAGAGCCAGGACACAAACAUGAGUGACAGUGGCUACAGGGAUCCUGUGGAAGACUCUCAAAACGUUUUGGGAAAUGAUCCAUCAGUAAACUCUCAAGCACAGGACCCCAUAGUCACACCGAGUAACACUGUGGAAGCCCAGACCCUACAUCCCACAUCUGAUCUUAAGGAAGACCAUCAUGAAAUAGGG